CGCUUCAACUCUGGGACGGUUGCCAUCUCUAUCAGUGAACAGACUCUGGAAUGUACCUGAGAAAUGAUAUGCAUGCAGAGAUUAGCUUUUCUUUUUCUCUUUUUUUUUUCAAUUUUUUUCAAUUCUUUUUUUUUUUGCGUAUUUUUUUUUUGAAAAUAAACAUGCUAUGAUGCAAAUGAUGCAGAUACGACUGGCUGGCUGCGCAUCUCAGAACGUAGGAUCGAAG
This 226-nucleotide long non-coding RNA is filed under the name Lathyrus oleraceus (garden pea). RNAcentral's name for it is "Pisum sativum (pea) long non-coding RNA (PSAT_LNC041479)". The record is from RNAcentral. Lineage: Eukaryota; Viridiplantae; Streptophyta; Magnoliopsida; Fabales; Fabaceae.